Molecule: ribosomal RNA, 497 nt
Filed under: uncultured bacterium
Lineage: Bacteria
Description: partial 16S ribosomal RNA
Rfam family: Bacterial small subunit ribosomal RNA
Source: RNAcentral
GAUGAACGCUGGCGGCGUGCCUAAUACAUGCAAGUCGAGCGAACAGAUGAGGAGCUUGCUCCUCUGACGUUAGCGGCGGACGGGUGAGUAACACGUGGAUAACCUACCUAUAAGACUGGGAUAACUUCGGGAAACCGGAGCUAAUACCGGAUAAUAUAUUGAACCGCAUGGUUCAAUAGUGAAAGACGGUUUUGCUGUCACUUAUAGAUGGAUCCGCGCCGCAUUAGCUAGUUGGUACGGUAACGGCUUACCAAGGCAACGAUGCGUAGCCGACCUGAGAGGGUGAUCGGCCACACUGGAGCUGAGACACGGUCAAGACUCCUACGGGAGGCAGCAGUAGGGAAUCGUCGGCAAUGGGCGAAAGCCUGACGGAGCAACGCGGCGUGAGUGAUGAAGGUCUUCGGAUCGUAAAACUCUGUUAUUAGGGAAGAACAAAUGUGUAAGUAACUAUGCACGUCUUGACGGUACCGAAUCAGAAAGCAACGGCUAACUACGUG